Molecule: ribosomal RNA, 450 nt
Filed under: uncultured bacterium
Lineage: Bacteria
Description: partial 16S ribosomal RNA
Rfam family: Bacterial small subunit ribosomal RNA
Source: RNAcentral
GUGGGGAAUAUUGGACAAUGGGCGAAAGCCUGAUCCAGCCAUGCCGCGUGUGUGAAGAAGGUCUUCGGAUUGUAAAGCACUUUAAGUUGGGAGGAAGGGCAGUAAGUUAAUACCUUGCUGUUUUGACGUUACCGACAGAAUAAGCACCGGCUAACUUCGUGCCAGCAGCCGCGGUAAUACGAAGGGUGCAAGCGUUAAUCGGAAUUACUGGGCGUAAAGCGCGCGUAGGUGGUUUUGUAAGUUGGAGGUGAAAUCCCCGGGCUCAAACUGGGAACUGCCUCCAAAACUGCAUGACUAGAGUACGGUAGAGGGUAGUGGAAUUUCCUGUGUAGCGGUGAAAUGCGUAGAUAUAGGAAGGAACACCAGUGGCGAAGGCGACUACCUGGACUGAUACUGACACUGAGGUGCGAAAGCGUGGGGAGCAAACAGGAUUAGAAACCCGUGUAGUCC